This 2112-nucleotide ribosomal RNA is filed under the name Salmonella enterica. RNAcentral describes it as "partial 23S ribosomal RNA". It matches the Rfam family "Bacterial large subunit ribosomal RNA", at positions 711 to 2803 of the family's 2925-position model. RNAcentral also lists the same sequence under 1 other name. Lineage: Bacteria; Pseudomonadati; Pseudomonadota; Gammaproteobacteria; Enterobacterales; Enterobacteriaceae. The record is from RNAcentral.
AGACCCGAAACCCGGUGAUCUAGCCAUGGGCAGGUUGAAGGUUGGGUAACACUAACUGGAGGACCGAACCGACUAAUGUUGAAAAAUUAGCGGAUGACCUGUGGCUGGGGGUGAAAGGCCAAUCAAACCGGGAGAUAGCUGGUUCUCCCCGAAAGCUAUUUAGGUAGCGCCUCGUGAAUUCAUCUCCGGGGGUAGAGCACUGUUUCGGCUAGGGGGUCAUCCCGACUUACCAACCCGAUGCAAACUGCGAAUACCGGAGAAUGUUAUCACGGGAGACACACGGCGGGUGCUAACGUCCGUCGUGAAGAGGGAAACAACCCAGACCGCCAGCUAAGGUCCCAAAGUCAUGGUUAAGUGGGAAACGAUGUGGGAAGGCCCAGACAGCCAGGAUGUUGGCUUAGAAGCAGCCAUCAUUUAAAGAAAGCGUAAUAGCUCACUGGUCGAGUCGGCCUGCGCGGAAGAUGUAACGGGGCUAAACCAUGCACCGAAGCUGCGGCAGCGACGCUUAUGCGUUGUUGGGUAGGGGAGCGUUCUGUAAGCCUGUGAAGGUGGCCUGUGAGGGUUGCUGGAGGUAUCAGAAGUGCGAAUGCUGACAUAAGUAACGAUAAAGCGGGUGAAAAGCCCGCUCGCCGGAAGACCAAGGGUUCCUGUCCAACGUUAAUCGGGGCAGGGUGAGUCGACCCCUAAGGCGAGGCCGAAAGGCGUAGUCGAUGGGAAACGGGUUAAUAUUCCCGUACUUGGUGUUACUGCGAAGGGGGGACGGAGAAGGCUAUGUUGGCCGGGCGACGGUUGUCCCGGUUUAAGCGUGUAGGUGUGUGUUCCAGGUAAAUCCGGUUCACUUUAACACUGAGGCGUGAUGACGAGGCACUACGGUGCUGAAGCAACAAAUGCCCUGCUUCCAGGAAAAGCCUCUAAGCAUCAGGUAACAUCAAAUCGUACCCCAAACCGACACAGGUGGUCAGGUAGAGAAUACCAAGGCGCUUGAGAGAACUCGGGUGAAGGAACUAGGCAAAAUGGUGCCGUAACUUCGGGAGAAGGCACGCUGACACGUAGGUGAAGUGAUUUACUCACGGAGCUGAAGUCAGUCGAAGAUACCAGCUGGCUGCAACUGUUUAUUAAAAACACAGCACUGUGCAAACACGAAAGUGGACGUAUACGGUGUGACGCCUGCCCGGUGCCGGAAGGUUAAUUGAUGGGGUCAGCGCAAGCGAAGCUCCUGAUCGAAGCCCCGGUAAACGGCGGCCGUAACUAUAACGGUCCUAAGGUAGCGAAAUUCCUUGUCGGGUAAGUUCCGACCUGCACGAAUGGCGUAAUGAUGGCCAGGCUGUCUCCACCCGAGACUCAGUGAAAUUGAACUCGCUGUGAAGAUGCAGUGUACCCGCGGCAAGACGGAAAGACCCCGUGAACCUUUACUAUAGCUUGACACUGAACAUUGAGCCUUGAUGUGUAGGAUAGGUGGGAGGCUUUGAAGCGUGGACGCCAGUCUGCGUGGAGCCGACCUUGAAAUACCACCCUUUAAUGUUUGAUGUUCUAACGUGGACCCGUGAUCCGGGUUGCGGACAGUGUCUGGUGGGUAGUUUGACUGGGGCGGUCUCCUCCUAAAGAGUAACGGAGGAGCACGAAGGUUGGCUAAUCCUGGUCGGACAUCAGGAGGUUAGUGCAAUGGCAUAAGCCAGCUUGACUGCGAGCGUGACGGCGCGAGCAGGUGCGAAAGCAGGUCAUAGUGAUCCGGUGGUUCUGAAUGGAAGGGCCAUCGCUCAACGGAUAAAAGGUACUCCGGGGAUAACAGGCUGAUACCGCCCAAGAGUUCAUAUCGACGGCGGUGUUUGGCACCUCGAUGUCGGCUCAUCACAUCCUGGGGCUGAAGUAGGUCCCAAGGGUAUGGCUGUUCGCCAUUUAAAGUGGUACGCGAGCUGGGUUUAGAACGUCGUGAGACAGUUCGGUCCCUAUCUGCCGUGGGCGCUGGAGAACUGAGGGGGGCUGCUCCUAGUACGAGAGGACCGGAGUGGACGCAUCACUGGUGUUCGGGUUGUCAUGCCAAUGGCACUGCCCGGUAGCUAAAUGCGGAAGAGAUAAGUGCUGAAAGCAUCUAAGCACGAAACUUGCCCCGAG